RNAcentral lists this long non-coding RNA (1747 nucleotides) under Pongo abelii (Sumatran orangutan). RNAcentral's name for it is "lincRNA". The record is from RNAcentral. Lineage: Eukaryota; Metazoa; Chordata; Mammalia; Primates; Hominidae.
UCCACGAUCCAGCCUCCCGAUCAUCGCGCUAGUCCUCGCCCUGCCUGGGCCUCCCCAGAGACGGGAGCUUGGGUGGGGGACCCUGGACCCGAAGCCAAGGCUGAACUGGUGUGCCAAGCCCAGGGAGCAACCAAGUCCCCAACUCUUUCCCUGCCCUUCCCGCAGGCUGAGCAGAAAACCAGGAAGUGGAUGGGCUGUAUCUCCGCAGCCACGCCUGCCCGUUUGCGCUUAUUGAACGGAGGUCCUCAGGAACAUGAAAAUGAAGGGAGGAUUAUUAACUUUAUGCCAUCUUCAAACCAGAAGAUCUUAGAUUAGUAAGAUCAUGUUGGCCACGGCAUGGAGAAUGGGCUGGAGGUGGAGAGACUGGCGGCUGGAAGUCCAGUUAGGAGAUCGCUCCUGCACUGGGGAGCUGGUGUUAGGACAGAAGAUCCAAGACGCAUUUCAGAGAGCCCCUCUUCUUGGGCCUGUGAUUCCUCACCUGGAAGGGAGAAGAGUGGACUUCCUGCCUAGAGAACACCUUGGUAAACACUUUAUGGUUCCUGUCAUGAGAAGGUGUGCAGCUUAGGGAAAAAGCCUGUGAGCUCUGGAAUCAGAUGGAACUGGAUAUAAAUUUCAGUUUAAACUGCCUUGGGGUUCAUGUUGCAGCAUCAAACAGGGAUGGAAGAUGCAUCUUGCUUUAGCAGCAGGAGCCUGGAAAGCAGCUGAAGCCCUGGAGGGUGCCUGGCACACAGAAUCUUGUGCUGAGCCCGGAGCCCAAUGGGAGCGGGCUGGCGGGGUGGGUUCACAGCUGGACUGGGAGCAGCAGACAUACAGGCCGUAGGCACAGACAUAUAAAGACAGUCAUGCAGAUUGCAGGAUGCCUGAGAGCACAGACUCUCACAUGCACAAAUAUGUGCAUGAUCACCAGUGUGUAUCCAGACAGCCCCACAUGCGUGCACGUGCAUGCACACAUGAGAUAUGUACAUAGAUGGACACAUGUCUAUGCCCACAAACACUGCAGAGACACACGCUAAAGUGUCUGGCAAGGAGCACUAUUUUGUCCUCAAUUUUCUGCCAGCGAGAGUCUACUGACUCCAUCUCUGAAAUGUCUCUACUUAUUGUCCCUCUUCUUCACCUGUGCCACAUCCCUAAUCCCUGAAACUCCCACCGAGACCCCUGGGAAAUAGCAAAGUCAGGACAGGAUUCCUGCUCCGCCUCUACCCGACCCUUAAGCCCAUCCUACAUGCAAGAGCAGGAGUUAUCUGGGUAUCAGGCAAAUCUGACCACAUCACCUCCCCACUGCUUAAAACCCUUUCCUACAGGAUGAAGUUUAAAUCACUUGACAUCCCAUAUAAGGCGCUUGACUGUCUGGCAUCAGCCGUAGUCUGGCCUCAGGCCCUGGCAUGGAGUCCCCUGGACUCAGUGCUCCGGCUGAGGGCCUCCAGGAUGAAGAUGCCCUGUGCAAAGCCUCACACUUCUGCUGUUGCUGGGCUCACUGUGUGAAAUUCCCUCCUCCCUCCUUCCACCUUCCUCCCUCCUUCCACCUUCCCUAUGCUGAACUGCCACUCCUCCAUCCUCCGUGGCCAGCGAAGCCAACACCUCCCCACUUCCUCCUGACAACCCAGGCACAGCCACUGACCUGUCCCAUGGCUGUCACAGCCCUUUCUUGGGCUCUCAAUGGUAUCGUUGUCACCUGUGUGCUCAUGAGCCUCCGCCACUCAACUCCAAGCACAUCAAAUAGAGAGCUCAAAACAUAUUGGGUACUCAA